Small nuclear RNA from Cercocebus atys (sooty mangabey), 83 nucleotides. Its record names the gene U4. It matches the Rfam family "U4 spliceosomal RNA". From Rfam's summary of the family: U4 small nuclear RNA (U4 snRNA) is a component of the major U2-dependent spliceosome. The structure of U4 snRNA from yeast and human has been reported. The record is from Ensembl. Lineage: Eukaryota; Metazoa; Chordata; Mammalia; Primates; Cercopithecidae.
AGUUUUUGGCAGUGGCAGUAUCGCAGCCAAUGAGGUUUAUCUGAGGGGCAAUUAUUGCUCUUUGAAAAUUGAGGAAGAAAAAA